UACGUAGGGCGCAAGCGUUGUCCGGAAUUAUUGGGCGUAAAGAGCUCGUAGGCGGUCUGUCGCGUCGGUCGUGAAAACUUGGGGCUUAACCCUGAGCUUGCGGUCGAUACGGGCAUGACUGGAGUUCGGCAGGGGAGACUGGAAUUCCUGGUGUAGCGGUGAAAUGCGCAGAUAUCAGGAAGAACACCAACGGCGAAGGCAGCUCGCUGGGACGGUACUGACGCUGAGACGCGAAAGCGUGGGGAGCGAACAGG
Molecule: ribosomal RNA, 254 nt
Filed under: uncultured bacterium
Lineage: Bacteria
Description: partial 16S ribosomal RNA
Rfam family: Bacterial small subunit ribosomal RNA
Source: RNAcentral